GUUGAUAAGGUUAAGUGAAUAAGGGCGCACGGUGGAUGCCUUGGCACUAGGAGCCGAUGAAGGACGGGACUAACACCGAUAUGCUUUGGGGAGCUGUACGUAAGCUA
Molecule: ribosomal RNA, 107 nt
Filed under: Enterococcus faecium
Lineage: Bacteria; Bacillati; Bacillota; Bacilli; Lactobacillales; Enterococcaceae
Description: partial 23S ribosomal RNA
Rfam family: Bacterial large subunit ribosomal RNA
Source: RNAcentral